UAUCUCUGUAGAGUCUGCAUAUCAAUAAGCGGAGGAAAAGAAACUAACUAGGAUUCCCUCAGUAACGGCGAGUGAAGCGGGAAGAGCUCAAAUUUGAAAUCUUCAAGGUUUUACCUUGACGAAUUGUAGUUUAAAGAAGUGUUUUCUGUUGGAGUUUUGGUAAAAGUUCUUUGGAAUAGGACAUCAUAGAGGGUGAGAAUCCCGUAUUUGACCAUUAUUUCCAGCUUUGUGAUACACUUUCAAAGAGUCGGAUUGUUUGGGAAUGCAGUCCAAAAUGGGUGGUAAAUUUCAUCUAAAGCUAAAUACUGGCGAGAGACCGAUAGCGAACAAGUACCGUGAGGGAAAGAUGAAAAGAACUUUGAAAAGAGAGUUAAACAGUACGUGAAAUUGUCAAAAGGGAAGCGUUUGACACCAGUGUUGUCUUCUCGAAAAUCAAUUAAACAUGGUGGGAUUUUGUGUUGUAUUGACUUUAUCAGCUUUCUGCACUCUUUUCUUAUCUUUUUUAAUGCACUUUUCGUUUAACAAGUCAACAUCAAUUUCUUUUGUUGUAAAAGAGUCAUUGGAAGGUGGCUUUCUUUUCGGAGAAAGUGUUUAUAGCCUUUGGCUUCUGCAAUCGGAGAGAUUGAGGUCUGCAGCGUAGAUCCUUCGGGGUUAGAUACAUUUGUGCUAAGUUAUAGCCUUUCAUAGACAACUUGUUGACUAUGAUCAGUCAUGUAGCUUACUCGCUUAUGCUAUUUUACCUACGCUUAGGAUGUUGAGUCAUCACACAUCUCU
RNAcentral lists this ribosomal RNA (774 nucleotides) under uncultured Neocallimastigales. Its description in RNAcentral is "partial large subunit ribosomal RNA". It matches the Rfam family "Eukaryotic large subunit ribosomal RNA", at positions 24 to 618 of the family's 3401-position model. Lineage: Eukaryota; Fungi; Neocallimastigomycota; Neocallimastigomycetes; Neocallimastigales. The record is from RNAcentral.